GAUGAACGCUGGCGGCGUGCCUAAUACAUGCAAGUCGAGCGAACAGACGAGGAGCUUGCUCCUCUGACGUUAGCGGCGGACGGGUGAGUAACACGUGGAUAACCUACCUAUAAGACUGGGAUAACUUCGGGAAACCGGAGCUAAUACCGGAUAAUAUAUUGAACCGCAUGGUUCACUAGUGAAAGACGGUUUUGCUGUCACUUAUAGAUGGAUCCGCGCCGCAUUAGCUAGUUGGUAAGGUAACGGCCUACCAAGGCAACGAUGCGUAGCCGACCUGAGAGGGGGAUCGGCCACACUGGAACUGAGACACGGUCCAGACUCCUACGGGAGGCAGCGGUAGGGAAUCUUCCGAAAGGGGCGAAAGCCGGACGGAGCAACGCCGCGUGAGUGAUGAGGGUCUUCGGAUCUUAAAACUCUGUUAUUAGGGAAGAACAAAUGUGUAAGUAACUAUGCACGUCUUGACGGUACCUAAUCAGAAAGCCACGGCUAACUACGUG
This 497-nucleotide ribosomal RNA is filed under the name uncultured bacterium. RNAcentral describes it as "partial 16S ribosomal RNA". It matches the Rfam family "Bacterial small subunit ribosomal RNA", at positions 28 to 507 of the family's 1533-position model. The record is from RNAcentral.